Long non-coding RNA from Salvelinus sp. IW2-2015, 944 nucleotides. RefSeq lists it as uncharacterized. The record is from RefSeq and is a predicted model, not a curated record. NCBI's taxonomy places the organism in Eukaryota, Metazoa, Chordata, Actinopteri, Salmoniformes, Salmonidae.
UUUUAAAUUAGGCAAAGGCUACAACAACUCCACUCUGUUAGAGAUUAUAGUUUUGGAAACAGAAAACUGUAUGGAGAUCAAUUACAUAAUUAUCAGAAUGUCGGUCAAAAUCCGUCUUGCGCCAUCUUCUCCCACUGCUGGCAUUUGGGCUUCACAUUUAUACAUCAGAGAGAAACGACCAUUUCCAGUAUGGCUUUUCUCCUUGUGAAAUGCAAGGUGUCCCUGCCCACAGGCAGCAGACUGCAUCUAAGAAGGGUGGCACUCUGCAGUCAUCCUGAGGUGCUUGCCUCUGGCAUUUGCAGCUUCUCACAGGCCCAAAGGCCAAACUGAGAGAGGCAAGUGGCGUCCCCAUGGGCACUGAAUACAGUGAUGGAAGGCUACGAACUCCAAUUCCGAUGCUGGCCACCGCUAUUGUUCUGGCACCUCAAAUGUCUCAGGGUCUAGUGUUGACGCCCUGGUUGACUGAUUGUUUCCGAAUGAGUUCAGAUGAAGGAGCAUCAACCUACAUCCUAACCCCUCAUUCUGGCCACGGGUUCUGUCUGACAGACACGUUAACCGGCCAUUAUAGUUGUCCACAUACGCCCCUCUCGCUGUUGCGGAUGAACUAGGGGCUUUCCCCAGUGUGUUGUGCCCGGCUAGGGCAAUGGACUCUUUUCACAGUCGCAGCAUUUCAGCUGGCCUUUGCCUUUUGCUGUGGUGGCACAUUCUACUGGAGGAGUAACUGCCUGGACGAUUGAAUAGUCUGCCCCAUCCAGGGAACAGGCCACAACGGACACGAGGACCCUCUUGAACCACAUUUUAGUUCUGGGCCUUACCCUAAAUAAGGAGAAGAUUCACCUGACCCCUCACGGAAGGUGAUCUACCUCGGGAUGUCUAUAGACUCGACUCUCUCCAUAGACUCGACUCUCAUGAGGGCACGUCUCCCUCAAGUGAGAGUAACAAAA